UACGUAGGUCCCGAGCGUUGUCCGGAUUUAUUGGGCGUAAAGCGAGCGCAGGUGGUUUAUUAAGUCUGGUGUAAAAGGCAGUGGCUCAACCAUUGUAUGCAUUGGAAACUGGUAGACUUGAGUGCAGGAGAGGAGAGUGGAAUUCCAUGUGUAGCGGUGAAAUGCGUAGAUAUAUGGAGGAACACCAGUGGCGAAAGCGGCUCUCUGGUCUGUAACUGACGCUGAGGUUCGAAAGCGUGGGUAGCAAAUAGG
This 252-nucleotide ribosomal RNA is filed under the name uncultured bacterium. RNAcentral's name for it is "partial 16S ribosomal RNA". It matches the Rfam family "Bacterial small subunit ribosomal RNA", at positions 524 to 776 of the family's 1533-position model. The record is from RNAcentral.